GAUGAACGCUGGCGGCGUGCCUAAUACAUGCAAGUCGAGCGAACAGAUGAGGAGCUUGCUCCUCUGACGUUAGCGGCGGACGGGUGAGUAACACGUGGAUAACCUACCUAUAAGACUGGGAUAACUUCGGGAAACCGGAGCUACUACCGGAUAAUAUAUUGAACCGCAUGGUUCAAUAGUGAAAGACGGUUUUGCUGUCACUUAUAGCUGGAUCCGCGCCGCAUUAGCUAGUUGGUAAGGUAACGGCUUACCAAGGCAACGAUGCGUAGCCGGCCUGAGAGGAGGAGCAGCAACAGUGGAACUGAGACAGGGGCCAGAGACGUACGGGAGGAAGAAGGGGGGAAGAGUGGAGAAUGGGAGAAAGUCAGAAACAGCAAGAAAGAGGGGGUGAAGAAGGCGUUAGGGUUGUAAAGCCCGUUUGUUGGGAAAGAAAAGCAGGAGGUGAAUAACCAGCUGUUAUGACGGUAACCAAAGAAGAAGCAACGGCUAAUUUCGUG
Molecule: ribosomal RNA, 497 nt
Filed under: uncultured bacterium
Lineage: Bacteria
Description: partial 16S ribosomal RNA
Rfam family: Bacterial small subunit ribosomal RNA
Source: RNAcentral